This 69-nucleotide transfer RNA is filed under the name Marmota marmota marmota (Alpine marmot). It matches the Rfam family "tRNA". Rfam says of the family: Transfer RNA (tRNA) molecules are approximately 80 nucleotides in length. Their secondary structure includes four short double-helical elements and three loops (D, anti-codon, and T loops). Further hydrogen bonds mediate the characteristic L-shaped molecular structure. tRNAs have two regions of fundamental functional importance: the anti-codon, which is responsible for specific mRNA codon recognition, and the 3' end, to which the tRNAs corresponding amino acid is attached (by aminoacyl-tRNA synthetases). tRNAs cope with the degeneracy of the genetic code in two manners: having more than one tRNA (with a specific anti-codon) for a particular amino acid; and 'wobble' base-pairing, i.e. permitting non-standard base-pairing at the 3rd anti-codon position. RNAcentral also lists the same sequence under 2 other names. The record is from Rfam by way of RNAcentral. Lineage: Eukaryota; Metazoa; Chordata; Mammalia; Rodentia; Sciuridae.
GGAGUUGUGGUUCAGUGGUAGAGCACUUGCCUGACAUGCAUGAGGCCCUGGGUUCAAUCCUCAGCACCA